Molecule: long non-coding RNA, 1081 nt
Filed under: Homo sapiens (human)
Lineage: Eukaryota; Metazoa; Chordata; Mammalia; Primates; Hominidae
Description: HSALNT0341432
Source: RNAcentral
GCCUAAUUGAAUUUUAUUUUUCUCCCCUUAACCAAAUUCAUAAAAUUUUAGUCCAAGGGGAGAACCUCAGACUCUUUUCUGAACCAGUGCAUCUUCAAGGAUUCUCAUUGUUCUUCUGGCUGUAGUAGGAGCAUUUUCUGAAGAAGAAACUGCUGAUCAAGGUGGAGGAGGAGAGAGCCUUGACAGCCUGGCCCAUGGCAGCAUGACACAAUCAUCUUUGUUCUUAAAAAAUGUCCCUGAGAUGUCACUGCUGAGGAGCACAGAGAUGGAAACAGAAAGUGAAUAUGGCUGACAACCAAAAUGAGUCUGCCCUAUAGAUCAUCCUGUACCAGAGAUCUACAGCAUAAUGGCCUGGAAGCAGUCUUUGUUUUGGAGCCAAGCCCAGCAAAGUCUCAAUUCCUUCCCCUUCAAUCGCCAUCUGGAUGAACAAGGCCAAGUCAUUGACCUUCUCUGGGCCUCAGUUUCCUCACCCAUAAACUGGAGCAAAGUCAUCUCCAAGACAGCAGGAACCAUGUUUACUCUUUAAUCAUUGUAUGCUCCCUAAAUAUUUGCUGAACAAGUGAACAAAAAACCUGGUGGUGGUGAAAUUAGACUCCUUCUUGGUGUCACCAGGAGGUCCAGUUAAACAUACCAAGACUUGAGGAAUUAUGUCCAAGGUUCCAGCAUUGAACAUGAAGAACGCAGGAUUUAUUGGCACGUCGUGAUAACCGUAAAGCCCACGCUUCUACUGCAGUGUUGAGUUUGCGUGCCCUUGGGACAGAAGACAGAAUAGAGGCUGAGAAAAUUGCUUGUUGGAAGAAUGAAUCCUGGGUCUGCUAUUACAAGAAACUUCUCAACUUCUAGCCUUAUCUCUCACCACUCCUUCCUUAGAUCCUAAGAUUCAACCAUCCCUGACAUCAACACACCAUGUCCUGUGCUUUGUGCCACCUGUUUACCUUUGUACAUGGCAUUCCCACGUGGUAGAAUCUCGCUCCCAUACAAUCUGUUAUACUUGGAACCCCCUUCCUUUAUUCUCAAAACGUAAUUCCCUUUGAGAAAGUUUCUCUGACGUUUUCCUGACAAUGAACCAAUCCUUCCUCCA